RNAcentral lists this ribosomal RNA (253 nucleotides) under uncultured bacterium. RNAcentral describes it as "partial 16S ribosomal RNA". It matches the Rfam family "Bacterial small subunit ribosomal RNA", at positions 524 to 776 of the family's 1533-position model. The record is from RNAcentral.
UACAGAGGGGGCAAGCGUUAUUCGGAAUUAUUGGGCGUAAAGGGCGCGUAGGCGGCUUUUCAAGUGACGGGUGAAAUCCCUCGGCUUAACCGAGGAACUGCCUGUCAGACUGGAAGGCUUGAGACCGGGAGAGGUGAGUGGAAUUCCCAGUGUAGCGGUGAAAUGCGUAGAUAUUGGGAGGAACACCAGUGGCGAAGGCGGCUCGCUGGACCGGAACUGACGCUGAGGCGCGAAAGCGUGGGGAGCAAACAGG